CCUGGGAUUUGGGGUGGAUUAGAGGCAAAGCCUGGACACCUCAUUUAAUGAUGUAGGGCUGCUUUCCAGGCUGUGGUGCUAAAAGAAGCCCCUGCUGCUUUUACUUAAAGGAGAUUCCAGUGCAGCCAAGGUGGACGGCGGAUCAAGGCCUAAAGCAGCAAUCUGCUAAAUAUCUCAGUGACUGGGAAAACCCCAAAGGGCUACAUACCAUCCUUUGUACCUGCAGCCAUUAAUGACUUCCAGAGACCAGAGCUCAUGGAGGGACAACAAUAGCUGCAAGCAAAGACUUUAACUGAAAGGCAGAACUUUGAGAAAUUUCAAGGUUUGUGGACAGAUUGGUAAAGAUUUUCUGAAGAAACUCUGUGGAGGCCCUGAAACCAUGCCAUAUUGGACAAGCCCUUUACAGACCCCUCAGGAAGAGAUCUACUUUGCAUUCCCAAUAGGAAGAGGCCUACUUUACUGCCCCAACAGGAGGAAAAAGGGUUUUCUCCUUACCAGGCAAUAGCCCAGCCAAUGAGAGACCGUCACAUCUCAGCCAUUGAGAAGCCACUACACUUGGAUCUGCCAGUUUGCUCCAAUGGACUCUCGUUUAUAACAACCCCUUCCAACUGUCCCCUUUCCUUUAUAAAGAUCAGUCUUCUCUUUGUUCUCUGGACUCGCCUAUGAUUUGCCAUAGCUUGCCUGACCCAAAUUGUAAUUACUCUGCUAUUCCCAA
Molecule: long non-coding RNA, 715 nt
Organism: Manis javanica (Malayan pangolin)
Lineage: Eukaryota; Metazoa; Chordata; Mammalia; Pholidota; Manidae
Source: RefSeq, a predicted model, not a curated record